RNAcentral lists this ribosomal RNA (406 nucleotides) under uncultured bacterium. Its description in RNAcentral is "partial 16S ribosomal RNA". It matches the Rfam family "Bacterial small subunit ribosomal RNA", at positions 30 to 526 of the family's 1533-position model. The record is from RNAcentral.
AUUGAACGCUGGCGGCAGGCCUAACACAUGCAAGUCGAGCGAGCGGCGGACGGGUGAGUAAUGUCUGGGAAACUGCCUGAUGGAGGGGGAUAACUACUGGAAACGGUAGCUAAUACCGCAUACCAUCAGAUGUGCCCAGGUGGGAUUAGCUAGUAGGUGGGGUAACGGCUCACCUAGGCGACGAUCCCUAGCUGGUCUGAGAGGAUGACCAGCCACACUGGAACUGAGACACGGUCCAUACUCCUACGGGAGGCAGCAGUGGGGAAUAUGGCACAAUGGGGGCAAGCCUGACGCAGCCAUGCCGCGUGUAUGAAGAAGGCCCUCGGUUUGUAAAGUCCUUUCAGCGGGGAGGCGUUACCCGCAGAAGAAGCACCGGCUAACUCCGUGCCAGCAGCCGCGGUAAUUC